RNAcentral lists this ribosomal RNA (113 nucleotides) under Pteropus alecto (black flying fox). Lineage: Eukaryota; Metazoa; Chordata; Mammalia; Chiroptera; Pteropodidae. The record is from RNAcentral.
GUCUACGGCCAUGCUACCCUGAACAAGCCCAAUCCCAUUUGAUCUCGGAAGCUAAGCAGGGUCUGGCCGUACUUGGAUGGGAAACCACCUAGAAAGACCAGGUGCUGUAGGCA